UGAGCAUUAAAAGAAUCCUUAAGAAAUCCUAAAGAAAUAUUAGAAUAAUCACAAAUAUAUCUUAAAUAAAUCUCAAUCAAGUCUUAAUUUAAUUCUAAUUAAAAUCCUAAUGGACUUUAAUCAAAUUCUAUGCCAAAUCUUAAAUCCUAAGCAAACUUUAAUCCUAAAACAAAUUCUAAAUAAAUCCUAAAUCCUAAAUCAAAUCCUAGACAAAUUAUGAAUCCUAAACCAAAUCCUAAAUAAAUUCUAAAUCCUAAAAAAAUCCUAGAGAAAUCUUAAAUCCUAAAUCAAAUCCUAAUUAAAUUCUAAAUCCUAAACAAAUCCUAAAUUCUAAAUCAGAUCCUAGACAAAUCCUAAAUCCUAAAUAAAUCCUAAAUUCUAAAUCAAAUCCUAGAUAAAUCCUAAAUCCUAAACCAAAUCCUAAAUAAAUUCUAAAUCUUAAACAAAUCCUAGAAAAAUCUUAAAUCCUAAAUCCUAAAUAAAUCCUAAAUUCUAAAUCAAAUCCUAAACAAAUCCUAAAUCCUAAAUAAAUCCUAAAUUCUAAAUCAAAUACUAAACAAAUCCUAAAUUUUAAACUAAAUCCUAAAUAAAUCCUAAAUCUUAAACCAAAUUCCAGACAAACUCUAAACUCUAAAUCAAAUCCUAAAUAAAUCCUAAAUUCUAAAUCAAAUCCUAAAUAAAUCUUAAAUCCUAAAUUAAAUCCUAGAUAAAAUCUAAAUUUUAAAUCAAAUCCUAAUCAAAACCUAAAUCAAAUCUUAGAUAAAUCCUAAAUCAAAUCCUAAAUAAAUCCUUAACUUUAAACCAAAUCCUAAAAAAAUCCUAAAUCCUAAAUCAAAUACUAGACAAAUCCUAAACCUUAAAUCAAAUCCUUAAAAAAUCCUAAAUCUUAAACCAAA
This 896-nucleotide long non-coding RNA is filed under the name Physcomitrium patens. RNAcentral describes it as "long non-coding RNA (PPAT_LNC008441)". The record is from RNAcentral. Lineage: Eukaryota; Viridiplantae; Streptophyta; Bryopsida; Funariales; Funariaceae.